GGUAAGAUGGCCGAGUGGUUUAAGGCGGCAGAUUUAAGCUCUGCUGGGGGAAACCUCUCGUGGGUUCGAAUCCCACUCUUAUCAACA
Molecule: transfer RNA, 87 nt
Filed under: Arthroderma uncinatum
Lineage: Eukaryota; Fungi; Ascomycota; Eurotiomycetes; Onygenales; Arthrodermataceae
Also listed under: 2 other names
Description: tRNA-Leu
Rfam family: tRNA
About the family: Transfer RNA (tRNA) molecules are approximately 80 nucleotides in length. Their secondary structure includes four short double-helical elements and three loops (D, anti-codon, and T loops).
Source: RNAcentral